This 484-nucleotide ribosomal RNA is filed under the name uncultured bacterium. RNAcentral's name for it is "partial 16S ribosomal RNA". It matches the Rfam family "Bacterial small subunit ribosomal RNA", at positions 30 to 507 of the family's 1533-position model. The record is from RNAcentral.
AUUGAACGCUGGCGGCAGGCCUAACACAUGCAAGUCGAGCGGAUGAAGGGAGCUUGCUCCUGGAUUCAGCGGCGGACGGGUGAGUAAUGCCUAGGAAUCUGCCUGGUCGUGGGGGAUAACGUCCGGAAACGGGCGCUAAUACCGCAUACGUCCUGAGGGAGAAAGUGGGGGAUCUUCGGACCUCACGCUAUCAGAUGAGCCUAGGUCGGAUUAGCUAGUUGGUGGGGUAAAGGCCUACCAAGGCGACGAUCCGUAACUGGUCUGAGAGGAUGAUCAGGCACACUGGAACUGAGACACGGUCCAGACUCCUACGGGAGGCAGCAGUGGGGAAUAUUGGACAAUGGGCGAAAGCCUGAUCCAGCCAUGCCGCGUGUGUGAAGAAGGUCUUCGGAUUGUAAAGCACUUUAAGUUGGGAGGAAGGGCAGUAAGUUAAUACCUUGCUGUUUUGACGUUACCAACAGAAUAAGCACCGGCUAACUUCGUG